AUAGUGGAAAUGAGUGAGUUGCCACUUCGUGAUUAUUCCUUUUUCGUAGGCCGUCCUCCAUGCUCUUCUCGUGUGGGAACUCGUCGGUAAGGGACGUGUCAGCCUUUCACUUAUUUAUCGUGAAUUAAAUUCCAUCUGUUUGAUUUUCAAGAUGGAGAGCUCAGCUUGUAUGACCAAAAGAUGUUGCAAGGAAGUUGAUGUUUGCAAAGAAGUUGGGUGAUUAAUCCAGCACCAUGAAUCAAGGUUCCUUGCGAAACGAAGAAGAGUUGAAGAUGGAGCUGAAAAUAUGGAUUGGCAAAUUUAUGACCUAUAUGUGGAGCCUCUUUAAACCAGGAUGAUUCUGAAGCAUGAGGCCCAUGUUGUCUUUGGAGUCCCUGUUGUGACGGUUGCCUUGGAAAUGAUCCAUGCAACAGAAUUUGCAGUUGAUUGAGAAAGGCAUAUUUACAAUAGACAAGAUGUAUGAAGACAUUAUUCCGUGCAAGGCCUUCUAGACAAUACACAUUCUGGAAGUGUGGAAGACAAAUGCAGGAGUAGCUCAUCAUUCAAAGCUAUGCAACUGAAAAACACAGGCAAUGCAGCCAGUACUUAAUAUCAACUGGGACCAGUUUGCAGAGCGUCUUCAUACAGUAACUUCUAGAGAAAAUAGUUGUGAUGGAUGGAGAACCUUCAAUUGAAUCCCCAAAGGUACUUCCUAAGAGACAAAAUCUGAUUCAGCUGAAUUUCACCGCAGCUGACAGACUUCAAUUGAUGCUUUUAAGGUCUAAUGUUGGCUGUGGAUAAUAUCAGUCACUCAGCAGGAAUUAUGUAAUUGAUCGGACAUGCUGCUUACCAGUAAAGCGGUCAGCAAUCCUCAGUUACCAUGAAGUAUUUGAUUAUAAGUGGAAAGUCUGGAUUACUGCAUAAGUGGAAAGUCUGGAUUACUGCAAGGCAUCCUGAAUGUGAAUGAAAAAUUGUAUGGUUGAAGGUUGAAGGGCAACUACAGCAAAGACUUCAUGCCUCUACAAUACAAUGGAGGACCAGAUUUCUGACUCUCUUUAGACUCUAGAGAAAAAGCUUGUACGAGACUCUUUGGAGGUGAAUCUUGAUGACAGUUCCUGAGGGAAGAAAUCUCCAUUAUAUGGGUUUUUCAACAUUAGUCUGAAUUUUGCUAGAGUAUGCUGUGACCUGGAUUGAUCUAGAAGUGGAACAGCUGAUCAUCUGAGAGUUGCCAAGCACCAUAACUGCAUUGAAUUUCACACCCUAGUAAUUAUUGAUGUACAGAAAUUACUCUGAAUUUCAAUAAAGUAUUAAGAGUA
RNAcentral lists this long non-coding RNA (1295 nucleotides) under Penaeus japonicus. RNAcentral describes it as "uncharacterized LOC122261925, transcript variant X2". Lineage: Eukaryota; Metazoa; Arthropoda; Malacostraca; Decapoda; Penaeidae. The record is from RNAcentral.